UUAACUCAAAUUUGUAUGGAGUUGGAACAGCGGUAGUGGCAAACAUAAGCAAACGAUCCAACUCCAUACAAAUUUUAGUUA
RNAcentral lists this microRNA precursor (81 nucleotides) under Bombyx mori (domestic silkworm). RNAcentral's name for it is "mir-2807 microRNA precursor family". It matches the Rfam family "mir-2807 microRNA precursor family". The record is from Rfam by way of RNAcentral. Lineage: Eukaryota; Metazoa; Arthropoda; Insecta; Lepidoptera; Bombycidae.